Long non-coding RNA from Mesocricetus auratus (golden hamster), 1249 nucleotides. RefSeq lists it as uncharacterized. Lineage: Eukaryota; Metazoa; Chordata; Mammalia; Rodentia; Cricetidae. The transcript has 2 exons. The record is from RefSeq and is a predicted model, not a curated record.
AACCAGCACAGGUCCUUCACUUGAAGGUUUAGGAGGGAGUAUGUCCCAGCCAGUAACUUAAUUAUGGACUCUCAGUCUCCAGCGCAUUGAAGCAAUAAACUUCUGAGCUCUAAGAAUCCCAAGUGGUGGCAUCUGAUAAUAGUAACCUCUCCCAUCAAGUAUAGCAUCCAAGAAAAUAUAGAAAUCUCCGUGUCUGGACCUCAGUCUGAUAAUCUAUUUCCCACAAGUUAGUAUGCUAUUAACAGGAUUGCAUUCUCCAUUGUCCUGUGGGUACAUGCUAGCUCUUCAUAUGACGGCGAGGCAUUCUCACCUGUCUCAUUCUCUAAUGGUGAUUAUGUAUGUAUGUAUGUAUGUAUGUAUGCCUGCCACAGUCCUUGAGUGUGGUUUUACUGUUCUUCUCACUUGUCUUUUUAUAGAUAGGGACAUUGCUGCCCCAAAAAACUAAGCUAUGUUCAAGAGAACACCCUGUGCAGCUGAACCUCCCAUCUGGACCUGCGCACACCAAGUCACCCCACAAAGCCAAACUCCACUUCCUCUACUCGGCUUCCCCUACAGAAUGUGGCACCAUGGUCACAGAGGGACGGACUCCGAACACUCUCCUUAGCUCAUGUAGCACAGCGAAAUCAAAGUCGAAAUCUUUACAUUUUGAGGAGCCAUUUCUUACUGCUUUCUGAGGACAUCGAGAACAUACGGUGACUUGUGGAGCUGGCAGCAGAACAAUGGAAGCCUGUGUCAUGAUACACACUGGACAGGGGCUAAAUGGCUACUUAUUUGCUGGUCAGAGAGCCCUCACCUGAGAGUUUCUAGUUCGUUUCAACGCCAUCUCUAAAACAAGUGCCAACUCAGUGACUUUCCAGCCUCCAUGCUAACAUCCACAGGGUCAGUGAGAUUACCCCCUCAAUUUUCAGAAAGCUCUCAAAUUUUAGUCUUUUAUUUGUUGCUGUUGCUUUUAUUUUUAAAUCUUUCCCUGAGACCCUUCUCCAUUGGUCCUAAGCCAAUAUCUUCAAUUCCUUUUUUUUUUUAACAAACUAGACUCCUUUUACAUAUGACAUCCACUUAAAUAUGUGAAGACACCCCUUUUGUCUCCUGAAUAUCACAUGUGCCAUAAAUGGUAAGUAGUAAACACAGGGUUUUUGAUUUAUAGAAAUUCUAAACACAUUCCCAGCAACUAUGAGUUAAUCAGAAUAAAGCCUUGACAGAGGAUCUCUCUCAAGUAUACUAAUGCAUUAAAUGGUACCUGAUCAACCAA